RNAcentral lists this ribosomal RNA (238 nucleotides) under uncultured bacterium. RNAcentral's name for it is "partial 16S ribosomal RNA". It matches the Rfam family "Bacterial small subunit ribosomal RNA", at positions 100 to 334 of the family's 1533-position model. The record is from RNAcentral.
CGGAACGGGUGAGUAACGCGUGAGGAACCUGCCUCAAAGAGGGGGACAACAGUUGGAAACGACUGCUAAUACCGCAUAAGCCCACGGCUCGGCAUCGAGCAGAGGGAAAAGGAGUGAUCCGCUUUGAGAUGGCCUCGCGCCCGAUUAGCUAGUUGGUGAGGUAACGGCCCACCAAGGCGACGAUCGGUAGCCGGACUGAGAGGUUGAACGGCCACAUUGGGACUGAGACACGGCCCAG